GACGAACGCNGGCGGCGUGCUUAACACAUGCAAGUCGAACGAAGAGCGACGGAAGCUUGCUUCUAUCAAUCUUAGUGGCGAACGGGUGAGUAACGCGUAAUCAACCUGCCCUUCAGAGGGGGACAACAGUUGGAAACGACUGCUAAUACCGCAUACGAUCUAAUCUCGGCAUCGAGGAUAGAUGAAAGGUGGCCUCUACAUGUAAGCUAUCACUGAAGGAGGGGAUUGCGUCUGAUUAGCUAGUUGGAGGGGUAACGGCCCACCAAGGCGAUGAUCAGUAGCCGGUCUGAGAGGAUGAACGGCCACAUUGGGACUGAGACACGGCCCAGACUCCUACGGGAGGCAGCAGUGGGGAAUCUUCCGCAAUGGACGAAAGUCUGACGGAGCAACGCCGCGUGAGUGAUGACGGCCUUCGGGUUGUAAAGCUCUGUUAAUCGGGACGAAAGGCCUUCUUGCAAAUAGUGAGAAGGAUGAC
This 475-nucleotide ribosomal RNA is filed under the name uncultured bacterium. RNAcentral's name for it is "bacterial SSU rRNA". It matches the Rfam family "Bacterial small subunit ribosomal RNA", at positions 28 to 473 of the family's 1533-position model. The record is from RNAcentral.